Molecule: ribosomal RNA, 499 nt
Filed under: uncultured bacterium
Lineage: Bacteria
Description: bacterial SSU rRNA
Rfam family: Bacterial small subunit ribosomal RNA
Source: RNAcentral
AUUGAACGCUGGCGGUAUGCUUUACACAUGCAAGUCGAACGGUAACGGGCCUUCGGGUGCCGACGAGUGGCGAACGGGUGAGUAAUGUAUCGGAACGUACCUUUCAGUGGGGGAGUAACGUAGCGAAAGUUACGCUAAUACCGCAUAUUCUGUGAGCAGGAAAGCAGGGGAUCGCAAGACCUUGCGCUGAUUGAGCGGCCGAUAUCAGAUUAGCUAGUUGGUGAGGUAAAGGCUCACCAAGGCGACGAUCUGUAGCGGGUCUGAGAGGACGACCAGCCACACUGGGACUGAGACACGGCCCAGACUCCUACGGGAGGCAGCAGUGGGGAAUUUUGGACAAUGGGGGCAACCCUGAUCCAGCCAUGCCGCGUGAGUGAAGAAGGCCUUCGGUUGUAAAGCUCUUUCUAGACGGAAGAAACGACAUCGGUGAAUACCCGAUGUGGAUGACGGUACCGUAAGAAGAAGCACCGGCUAACUACGUGCCAGCAGCCGCGGUAAA